CGGCACUAGCGCGGUGGUCCCACCUGACCCCAUGCCGAACUCAGAAGUGAAACGCCGUAGCGCCGAUGGUAGUGUGGGGUCUCCCCAUGUGAGAGUAGGAAACUGCCAGGC
This 111-nucleotide ribosomal RNA is filed under the name Klebsiella pneumoniae. The record is from RNAcentral. RNAcentral also lists the same sequence under 1 other name. Lineage: Bacteria; Pseudomonadati; Pseudomonadota; Gammaproteobacteria; Enterobacterales; Enterobacteriaceae.